This 255-nucleotide ribosomal RNA is filed under the name uncultured bacterium. RNAcentral describes it as "partial 16S ribosomal RNA". It matches the Rfam family "Bacterial small subunit ribosomal RNA", at positions 524 to 777 of the family's 1533-position model. The record is from RNAcentral.
UACGGAGGAUCCAAGCGUUAUCCGGAAUCAUUGGGUUUAAAGGGUCCGUAGGCGGCCAGGUAAGUCAGUGGUGAAAGCCCAUCGCUCAACGGUGGAACGGCCAUUGAUACUGCCAGGCUUGAAUUUCUGGGAAGUAACUAGAAUAUGUAGUGUAGCGGUGAAAUGCUUAGGUAUUACAUGGAAUACCAAUUGCGAAGGCAGGAUUACUACCAGUGGAUUGACGCUGAUGGACGAAAGCGUGGGUAGCGAACAGGA